AGCUGAGAAGUUCUGGGAAAGAGUGGCUGGCAGGACUGUCCCCACCAUGACCACAGAUCUCUGAGUCUGGCCAGGACACCAGCCCUCUGGUCUUCCUUACACUAGGGCCAGUAGAGCUCACAGCUGUAACAGCCAGGACCCACUGGAA
Molecule: long non-coding RNA, 148 nt
Organism: Octodon degus (degu)
Lineage: Eukaryota; Metazoa; Chordata; Mammalia; Rodentia; Octodontidae
Exons: 3
Source: RefSeq, a predicted model, not a curated record